This 303-nucleotide ribosomal RNA is filed under the name uncultured bacterium. RNAcentral's name for it is "partial 16S ribosomal RNA". It matches the Rfam family "Bacterial small subunit ribosomal RNA", at positions 507 to 807 of the family's 1533-position model. The record is from RNAcentral.
AGCAGUAGCCGCGGUAAUACAGAGGGUGCAAGCGUUAAUCGGAAUUACUGGGCGUAAAACGCGCGUAGGUGGUUUGUUAAGUUGGAUGUGAAAUCCCCGGGCUCAACCUGGGAACUGCAUUUGUGACUGGCAAGCUAGAGUAUGGCAGAGGGGGGUGGAAUUCCGCGUGUAGCAGUGAAAUGCGUAGAUAUGCGGAGGAACACCGAUGGCGAAGGCAGCCCCCUGGGCCAAUACUGACGCUCAUGCACGAAAGCGUGGGGAGCAAACAGGAUUAGAUACCCCUGUAGUCCCUGUCUCUUAUAC